Hydra vulgaris (swiftwater hydra) is the source of this 2611-nucleotide non-coding RNA. Lineage: Eukaryota; Metazoa; Cnidaria; Hydrozoa; Anthoathecata; Hydridae. The record is from RefSeq and is a predicted model, not a curated record.
GAUAUAUAUCAGUUAGUUAUUUUAUACAUUCAAAAUUCAUUAGUUUCUUUUAACUUAAGAUCAAUAGAUUUCGUCUAGACAAAUGUUUUUAUUACUUUGUUAAAAAAAGUUUUUCAUUUGUUUUUUAGAUGAUACUUUUGAGAGGUCAGUUUUUUUUUGCGAUUUAUUAUUUUAGUAUUUAGUCUUUUACUCUCAAUAUUCAAUUAUAUAUCUUUAUUAUGCUAUGUUUUUUGUGCAGAUUUUUGUGCAUCCACAAAGUUUUUUUACAGUUGUUUAUUUAUAUGUUCCUGAUUGUUUCAUGAUUUUUAUUGAAUCAUUGUUGUUUUUUUUCUAUAGACAAUUUAAAACAAACUAUUAGUAAGUAAAGUUUGAAAUAUUUUAGUUAUUUAGUCAUUGAAACUUUUUUUUUUUUUUGUAAUGUUAGUGUUAUAGUUUAAUCUUAUAAUGAAGUAAGUAGUUUAAAGUUGGCUUUUAGGUGAAUUUAGAAUUUUUUAAUUCUUUAUCAACACUUCAUUAAUUGGUAAGAGAUUAAUGUGUAUUUUUAUGUGUAUGUAUUGAGAAAUAUAAUCUGAUUUUGUGUAUUAUUUAUAUGUACUAUAUUAUUGUAUAUUUAAUAUGCACUAUAUAUGUAUAUUUGAUAUGUAAUAUUUACAUGUACUAUUUAAUCUUUUGUGUCAUUGUAUUAUUUAAUUUUUAAUAUCCUUGUCAUCUGUUGCAGCUGGUAAGGUUUCUAUAUUAUUAAUUUGAGAGAUAAAGUUGUUAAAUGCUCAGUUCAUGUAGCGCGUACAAAUAGAGUAAGCAAUCGAUUGCAUCAGGCUAGAAUUAGAGCCAAUAUUUCCCGAAGACAGGCAUCCAAGCGCCAAAAAAAUCGAUGAAAAAGAAAAAAGUUAGAGAAAAAAAAAUUAGAGCGUUAGCUAUCCAAACUGAGUUAUGAUGAAAUUAUAGAUUCAUACAAAAAUUGUCUAAUGACCAACUUUAUAAUUUAGAAGAUGUCAUGUAUAGAAGAAUAGUAGGCAAAAAACUCAUGAAUGAUAUGAUCCUAAACAUCCAAGCCUGUUUUGUAUAAUGGCAGAGUAGAAAAAGUAUUUAGUUGAAAAAAUGACUUAGUUUGCACUAUUUCUUACUGGAAAGAUGAUGAAACGUAUAUGGAGGCUGUUGACCAUUGCAUGAAAAAGAUCCAGCUUGUUCCAGAUGUUAUUUCAGAAGACUUACAAUUUUAUUAAUUUUAUAUUAAAUUAAUAAAACACAGUGAAAGUACAAGUUUGAAAUUAAGGCUAAAAAAGUACUACAAAUGAAUUGCUGAAAAAUACUACCAGUGUUGUGACUAGCCUAAAAGAAAUUUAUUAUUGUACCAGUGUUGUGACUAGACUAAAAGAAAUUUAUUAUUGUAAUCAUUCACUAAAAGCCAAGACAAAACUAUAUGAGAUAAAAAAUAAACAAACCAUUAUUAUUUCUUUUUAAUAACAUUUUAUUUGUUUUUUAGUUUGAAACAGCCAAAGCGCUAUUUGAAAUAUUUAAAAAUUAUUAAAGGUUGGUUAAUAAAAUGGAUAUCAAAGCUGUAGAACAUUCCAUGAAAAAGUUUCAGCAUGUUGCAAAUAUUGUUUCCAGAGAGUUGACUAGAUAUUAUUUUGUUAAAACACUACAAAAAUAUAUAUUUGAAAUUUAUAGAUUAAAAAACUGCAAGUGCUGUGACAUGUUGAAAAAAAAAGUACUGCUAGUGGUGUGACUAGCUAAAAAAAAGUACUGCAAGUGCUGUGACUUGCUAAAAAAAGUGCUGCAAGUGUUUUGGCUUGCUAAAAAUAGUACUGCAAGUGUUGUGACUUGUUAAACAAAAGUACUGCAAGUGUUUUAACUUGCUAUAUAUUUUUGAUAGACGGCUUUGGCUUACCUUCAGGUGGUGUCAAUUGUUAAAAAUGAUUAUAAAAUAAUUUCAUUAGUAUAAUUUAUCAUUGUAGUCAUUCACUAAAAGCCAAGAAAAAACUUUAUGAAAUAAAGCAUCAUUAAAAUAAUCAAACGUUAUUUAGUGUUAAUAACAUUUUAUUUGUUUUUUAGUUUGAAACAGCCUAACUUUUCGUUAACCAAACUAAUAUCAAGCACUAUAUGAAAGAUUUAUAAAGUUGGGGGAAAGGGGGGACAGCCCCUCUCUUUUGAAAAUGGAUGCUACACUGAUGUAACUUUUACCGGGUAAGAUAUAUUUUUACUUCUUUGUUGUUGUUUUUUAGAUAACCAAUCAAAUAUUUCAUAAUUAAAUUUUCAUAAUUAAUUUUUUUGCGAUAUUAGGGUGUGUUAAAACAUGGUCAACACAUUUAACAUGAGUUUUACACUUACCUUCAAUGUUUGGUGAUUGUCCAGUAUUAAUUUAUAGAACCUUUUUUAUACAGAAAAAAACUUUGUUUUAGGACUUUAGGAAACAGUAGUUGUGUCAUUUUAAUUUUUUUUUAUUUUUUUUUUUUUUAGGUGGGGGGAGGGGGGGUUAUUCGCCCCUCCCAUACAUCGAUGUAAACAAGACUUAAAUUCGUAAUAGUACCACCACGUAAAUUCUUGUAGAACAUAAUUUUAUAUUGUAUACUAAUUGAAUUCAUUUUAGUAAAGAUAAAAAUAUUCAUGAAAA